RNAcentral lists this unclassified non-coding RNA (305 nucleotides) under plant metagenome. RNAcentral's name for it is "partial contains 5.8S ribosomal RNA, internal transcribed spacer 2, and large subunit ribosomal RNA". The stretch from base 1 to 105 matches the Rfam family "5.8S ribosomal RNA", at positions 50 to 154 of the family's 154-position model. The record is from RNAcentral.
GAAAUGCGAUAAGUAAUGUGAAUUGCAGAAUUCAGUGAAUCAUCGAAUCUUUGAACGCACAUUGCGCCCAUUAGUAUUCUAGUGGGCAUGCCUGUUCGAGCGUCAUUUCAACCCCUAAGCACAGCUUACUGUUGGGACUCUACGGCCCCCGUAGUUCCCCAAAGCCAUUGGCGGAGUGGCAGUAGUCCUCUAAGCGUAGUAAUUCUUUAUCUCGCUUUUGUUAGGCGCUGCCCCCCCGGCCGUUAAACCCCCCAAUUUUUUCUGGUUGACCUCGGAUCAGGUAGGAAUACCCGCUGAACUUAAGC